AAUACUGAGAGAACUCUGAACUCCAUCUGGUGAAAAAAAUGAAGCAGUAAAAAUAAUCUCCUGGAUUGGAAUCCAGGAUUGGAAGCUCCAAGACAAUGGAUGAAUUUCCUUCUUUAGCAACCUGGAUCAUUCCUGGGGCAAGAGUGGAAAAUCCAAGAGAAACCAAAAUGGCACUGGAAACCUCAUCACCAGCUUCUAUGUUUUACAAUAAAUGGUAGCAAUACAA
This is a long non-coding RNA of Suricata suricatta (meerkat), 226 nucleotides long. RefSeq lists it as uncharacterized. The transcript is spliced from 2 exons. Lineage: Eukaryota; Metazoa; Chordata; Mammalia; Carnivora; Herpestidae. The record is from RefSeq and is a predicted model, not a curated record.